This 1104-nucleotide ribosomal RNA is filed under the name Stichotrichia sp. 2 bOmb2. Its description in RNAcentral is "SSU rRNA". It matches the Rfam family "Eukaryotic small subunit ribosomal RNA", at positions 113 to 1239 of the family's 1831-position model. Lineage: Eukaryota; Ciliophora; Spirotrichea. The record is from RNAcentral.
UAGUUUAUUUGAUAAUCAAAUUUACAUGGAUAACCGUGGUAAUUCUAGAGCUAAUACAUGCUGUUAAGCCUGACUUUGAGGAAGGGCUGUAUUUAUUAGAUAACAAAUCAAUAUUCCUUGUGUCUAUUGUGAUGAUUCAUAAUAACUGAUCGAAUCGCAUGGGCUUUGCUCGCGAUACAUCAUUCAAGUUUCUGCCCCAUCAGCUUUCGAUGGUAGUGUAUUGGACUACCAUGGCUUUCACGGGUAACGGAGGAUUAGGGUUCGAUUCCGGAGAGGGAGCCUGAGAAACGGCUACCACAUCUAAGGAAGGCAGCAGGCGCGUAAAUUACCCAAUCCUGACUCAGGGAGGUAGUGACAAGAAAUAACGGACCGAAGCCUAUGUUUCGGGAUUGCAAUGAGUAGAAUUUAAACCCCUUUACGAGGAUCAAUUGGAGGGCAAGUCUGGUGCCAGCAGCCGCGGUAAUUCCAGCUCCAAUAGCAUAUAUUAAAGUUGUUGCAGUUAAAAAGCUCGUAGUUGGAUUUCUGGGAGAGCGCCAAUGUCGUCUUGUUGACUGUGCAGCGGCGCUCUUCCAUCCUUCUGUUAACUUUUCGGGUAUUCAUUUACUCGUCUAGGGCUCAGAUAUUUUACCUUGAGAAAAUUAGAGUGUUCCAGGCAGGCUCGCGCCGGAAUACAUUAGCAUGGAAUAAUAGAAUAGGACUUUAGUCUCCUUUGUUGGUUUGAGGGACUGAAGUAAUGAUUAAUAGGGAUAGUUGGGGGCAUUAGUAUUUAAUUGUCAGAGGUGAAAUUCUCAGAUUUGUUAAAGACUAACUUAUGCGAAAGCAUUUGCCAAGGAUGUUUUCAUUAAUCAAGAACGAAAGUUAGGGGAUCAAAGACGAUCAGAUACCGUCCUAGUCUUAACCAUAAACUAUGCCGACUAGGGAUCGGAGGCGCGCUUUAUCCGCCUUCGGCACCUUAUGAGAAAUCAAAGUCUUUGGGUUCUGGGGGGAGUAUGGUCGCAAGGCUGAAACUUAAAGGAAUUGACGGAAGGGCACCACCAGGAGUGGAGCUUGCGGCUCAAUUUGACUCAACACGGGAAAACUUACCAGGUCCAGACAUAGUGAGGA